This 103-nucleotide microRNA precursor is filed under the name Marmota monax (woodchuck). The record is from RNAcentral. Lineage: Eukaryota; Metazoa; Chordata; Mammalia; Rodentia; Sciuridae.
AGAGGGAUAGCUGGGUCAAAUGGUGGUUCCAUUCUCAAUUUUCUAAGAAAUCUCCAUACUGCUUUCCAUAUUGGCUGUACCAAUUUUUAGUUCCACCAGCAGU